CCAGUGCAAUAAGAUGUGAUUUCCAUAAUGGUGUUGUGACCAACGCUAUGUUUGAACAUACCGAUAACCUGCUCACUCAUAUGAGUUGAAUCAGACUGCUGAGAGAUAAGCUCGGGACUUCUAGAGCGCUGAAGGUCAGAUAUUUGAGCCUCCUCCUGGAUUUGUUCCAUCGUGCCGCACGUCCUCAUCCUCCACAGCCUGCUGCAGAAACGGACCAUUGACUCUAUGCACACCGAGGGAAUCAUCUUGCACUUUACCAACAGUGUAUCAAUUAUCAGGGAUCCCGAGCCUCUGCAGGCAUCACAGUAGAAUGGUCCACCAACAGAGUAAACAGCUACAUCCAGGCUCUCUCCAGGAUCCAGUAAUUAAAAUGAAUGGCCACAAGUGAUAAACCGAGUGCAUUACACCUGAGUUAUUGGUGGAAGUACAGUCAUUGUGAGCAUAAUGACGCUCUGUGAUUUACGGCCAUCAAACGUUGGAAUAUGCUUCCAGCUGAGCUUAAAACUUGCACAGACUUUUAUUCUUUUUUUCUUUGGUGCAAAAACGAGGACACUGAGCAACGAGUCACGUCGACGUUAAUUUGAUCAUGAUUCAGAUUUCUAAUUGUAAUGAAUUGUUAUUUUAUGGUUGUGCUGGAUGAAUGUGCUGAUAUUUAAAUGUUGAUGUGUGUUUCCAGAUUUGUCUGUAUAAUUGUUAGCAUGAUAGAGACUAUGUAAUGGUGUUGCAUGUAAAUGAAUGUUUUUAGUGUCUGCUGAUUGUUCUGUGUGCACCUGCCCAGGGACCACAGAUGGAAAUUAGCUAAUAGCUAAAUCUGGUGUAAAUCAUCUCUUCUCAUUUUAGGAUUAA
Thunnus maccoyii (southern bluefin tuna) is the source of this 846-nucleotide long non-coding RNA. RefSeq lists it as uncharacterized. The transcript is spliced from 3 exons. Lineage: Eukaryota; Metazoa; Chordata; Actinopteri; Scombriformes; Scombridae. The record is from RefSeq and is a predicted model, not a curated record.